Long non-coding RNA from Chelmon rostratus (copperband butterflyfish), 299 nucleotides. RefSeq lists it as uncharacterized. Lineage: Eukaryota; Metazoa; Chordata; Actinopteri; Chaetodontiformes; Chaetodontidae. The transcript is spliced from 3 exons. The record is from RefSeq and is a predicted model, not a curated record.
CCCUUACAAGACAUGUCAAAGGCUCCAAGACGAGACUGCAAGGUUAGCUGAGCUAAAAACAGAGCUCCAUUGCUCAGAUGAAAUGGCAUUACAGUGGAUCUCUGAGGUGAAUGAAUGGGCAGCUGGAGAGACACCAAACGCACUUCAUACCACUGAAGGCACCACACAGACCGAACUUCAGCAGUCCAUUGUGGGACUCUACCUUAGUGUCAAGCAACGGAAGCAAACCCUCUACCGCCAGAAUGACAGCAGCAAGCUUCGCCACCGCCUUCGAAGGCAGGCCUAUGGUCAUCUCCACC